This 252-nucleotide ribosomal RNA is filed under the name uncultured bacterium. Its description in RNAcentral is "partial 16S ribosomal RNA". It matches the Rfam family "Bacterial small subunit ribosomal RNA", at positions 524 to 776 of the family's 1533-position model. The record is from RNAcentral.
UACGUAGGGAGCGAGCGUUAUCCGGAUUUAUUGGGUGUAAAGCGUGUGUAGGCGGUUUCUUAAGUCUAUGGUCCAAGCCCGGAGCUUAACUCCGGUUCGCCAUAGAAACUGAGUUACUUGAGUAUGGUAGAGGCAAGCGGAAUUUCUAGUGUAGCGGUGGAAUGCGUAGAUAUUAGAAGGAACACCAGUGGCGAAGGCGGCUUGCUGGGCCAUUACUGACGCUGAGACACGAAAGCGUGGGGAGCAAAUAGG